This 442-nucleotide long non-coding RNA is filed under the name Gossypium raimondii (Peruvian cotton). Its description in RNAcentral is "long non-coding RNA (GRAI_LNC000952)". Lineage: Eukaryota; Viridiplantae; Streptophyta; Magnoliopsida; Malvales; Malvaceae. The record is from RNAcentral.
UUUUGUUGCUUCAUUUUCUUUUUAUAUUUCUGAUCUGAUUCUCUUCUUCUCUCUCGUCUUUCUGCCUCAUUAGCUGCUCUGGGACGUCGAGUUCUUUUUUGUUGUGAACCUUGAGAUGAGUAUCCGUGAUUCAAUUGAGGUUGGCUUGUUGGUUGAGGAUGCACCAAGCUGUUACUCUGCACUGAGUUCGUUAGAUCUGUUUGAUUCUGACCUGGUACACUUGAUUGAAAUUGCCCAGUAUGCUGAGAGUUCGAGUGAUGAAUCAGAGUCUGGUACUGACGUGUUUCAUUCAAUUGAGGUUGGCUUGUUGGUUGAGGAUGCACCAAGCUGUCACUCGGCACUGAGUUCGUUAGAUCUGUUUGACUCUGACCUGCUCCAUUCGAUUGAAAUUGCCCAGUAUGCUGAGAGUUUGAGUGAUGAAUCAGAGUCUGGUUCUGACGUG